CGAGUACAGCGGCGCACGGGUUGAGUAACACGUAGGCAACCUACCUACGAGCCUGGGAUAACCUGCCGAAAGGCGGGCUAAUACCGAUAAGACCACGGGGGCUGCGGCUUCCGCGGUAAAAGGUGGCCUCUCCUUGGAAGCUACCACUCGCAGAUGGGCCUGCGCGCCAUUAGCUAGUUGGCGGGGUAAUGGCCCACCAAGGCAAAGAUGGCUAGCUGGUCUGAGAGGAUGGCCAGCCACACUGGGACUGAGACACGGCCCAGACUCCUACGGGAGGCAGCAGUGGGGAAUAUUGCGCAAUGGCGAAAGCCUGACGCAGCGACGCCGCGUGGGUGAUGAAGGCCUUCGGGUCGUAAAGCCCUGUCGGGAGGGACGAAACCUUGGUGACCUAAUACGUCAUCGACCUGACGGUACCUCCUAAGGAAGCACCGGCUAACUCCGUGCCAGCAGCCGCGGUAA
Molecule: ribosomal RNA, 459 nt
Filed under: uncultured delta proteobacterium
Lineage: Bacteria; Deltaproteobacteria
Description: bacterial SSU rRNA
Rfam family: Bacterial small subunit ribosomal RNA
Source: RNAcentral